AAUAAAUUUAAGAUGCCAUCUCCCUUUGUAUAUCUUCUCCAUAUAUUAAAUCAGAAGUUAAUGCUUGUGCACCUCUCCCAUCUGAUGUACAAGUUUGGCUCUUUUGUUACAUUC
This 114-nucleotide small nucleolar RNA is filed under the name Corchorus olitorius. The record is from RNAcentral. Lineage: Eukaryota; Viridiplantae; Streptophyta; Magnoliopsida; Malvales; Malvaceae.